This 2799-nucleotide long non-coding RNA is filed under the name Salmo salar (Atlantic salmon). Its description in RNAcentral is "lncRNA (ENSSSAG00000099825.1, ENSSSAG00000114753.1)". The record is from RNAcentral. Lineage: Eukaryota; Metazoa; Chordata; Actinopteri; Salmoniformes; Salmonidae.
UACCACCAGACCACCAAAGAGGGAACGCUAGGCUACGCUACCACCAGAUCACCAAAGAGGGAACGCUAGGCUACGCUACCACCAGAUCACCAAAGAGGGAACACUAGGCUAGGCUACCACCAGAUCACCAAAGAGGGAACACUAGGCUACCACCAGCUCAUCAAAGAGGGAACACCACAGAGGGAACGCUAGGCUACGCUACCACCAGAUCAGAGGGAACACUAGGCUAGGCUACCACCAGCUCAUCAAAGAGGGAACGCUAGGCUAGGCUACCACCAGUCCACUCCUUGAUAAUCUUAUACCCAUAAUGACCAGAGAUGAAAUGUCCAUUGAGACUGAGGGGGCAACGAGACACUGCUUUAGUGGGGGUAAGGUCACACAGUUUGUAUCUCAAAUGGCAGCCUAUUCCCUACAUUUGGGGUUCUUAAACUUUUUCAGCCUGAGACCCAAAUGAGAAACUGACCAUCCUCCCAUGACCAAAAUAAGAAAAAAAUACUGUGUGAUAAUCUACCACUUUGGGAGUCGUUAUUAUUUAUAUUAGUCUCCAUAAGGAAUAGAAACGAGUGGCACAUCUAUAACAUAUUUACUACAACAUCAUGAAUUCUGUGUUAUGUGGUGAUCUCCCAGAGUCCUGUGUGUUGAUCUCCCAGAGUCCUGUGUGUUGAUCUCCCAGAGUCCUGUGUGUCGAUCUCCCAGAGUCCUGUGUGUCGUUCUCCCAGAGUCCUGUGUGUCGUUCUCCCAGAGUCCUGUGUGUCGAUCUCCCAGAGCCCUGUGUGUCGUUCUCCCAGAGUCCUGUGUGUCGAUCUCCCAGAGUCCUGUGUGUAGUUCUCCCAGAGUCCUGUGUGUUGGCGCUUCCUUCAGACCCACAGAGACGAGAUGACCCCUGACCCUGAGCUACAGAGCCUGCUCACCAUCACCUCUUAUCACAUCACACUGGCCAUGGAACACCUCCGAUCCAAAAUGGAAGCCAGUUUCCUCCUCCUCCCACUCAUUCCUUAUGACACCAACUGCCACCUGCAUUACUGGUUUGGGACCUGACAUUAGACAGACAGUAAAUGAUCUGGGGUCUGUGUUCCAGGUGGUGCACUGUGACCUACGAUCAUUUCUUACAGACAGUAACCCAUACACACAGCUACAGAACAUUUAUUAGUCCUGAUCUCUGACCUGUACUUACAGGUGGUGGGUGCACUGUGACCUGGCCGGUCAGAAAACCAACUAUUACAGCUUCAAGGGGGACGUGUGGGCAUUUGGCAUCGUGCUGUGGGAGAUGCAGACAUUUGGUGAGUUUUGGAAAACAAAAUGUCUGCCAUCAUCAUUUACAAGGCUGUAUGGGUGGCUGCCUGGUGUCCAUCAUGAUAAAGACAGGUCAAAUCUUGUGUUCGUCUAACCUUUAUUUACCCAGAUAAUUAAUUGAGAACAAAUCCCAAAUUAAAUAUAAUUAUAACAACAUGGACAUAACAAAGUGGAUGUUUGUGGUUCCCAGGCACCUUACCAUACCCUAACCUGGAGACGCCAUCUGUCCCAGCCACAAGAACACAGACCUGUCCCUGAGGGCUACAGGCCAAACAUGUGACCGUGACAUCAUUGAUAGUGUCGUGGUAACAGGGUCCUAUUCAGUAGAACACGAUGUAGCAAAACAAAAACCUGUGUUCUUAUUGGACAGGUUCAGGUAAGACCUCUGUUUCCUGAACAAUAACCCAGACAUGAACAGACCCCUCUAUGGAAUACUGGAUAUAGGUUUAUUUUUUAUUCAUUUUUCUAUUCAAGGGUUUCGUCACAAAUGACACCCUAUUCAUUCAGUGCAUUCCUUCUGACCAGAAUCCUAUAUAGGGAAUAGGGUGCCAUUUGGGGAAGUACCAAAUAACAAAAAAUAAAGUUUGAAUUGAACAUCUAAAUGGAGCUGGUCUCUUUAAUACCGUUGUAAACACACUGUACUCACAUCCUGACCCCCUCAACACACUGUACUCACAUCCUGACCCCCUCAACACACUGUACUCACCUCCUGACCCCCUCAACACACUGUACUCACAUCCUGACCCCCUCAAACACACUGUACUCACAUCCUGACCCCUCAAUACACACUGUACUCACAUCCUGACCCCUCAACACACUGUACUCACAUCCUGACCCCCUCAACACACUGUACUCACAUCCUGACCCCCUCAACACACUGUACUCACAUCCUGACCCCCUCAACACACUGUACUCACAUCCUGACCCCUCAACACACUGUACUCACAUCCUGACCCCCUCAAUACACACUGUACUCACAUCCUGACCCCCUCAAUACACACUGUACUCACAUCCUGACCCCUCAACACACUGUACUCACAUCCUGACCCCCUCAAUACACACUGUACUCACAUCCUGACCCCUCAACACACUGUACUCACAUCCUGACCCCCUCAAUACACACUGUACUCACAUCCUGACCCCUCAACACACUGUACUCACAUCCUGACCCCUCAACACACACUGUACUCACAUCCUGACCCCUCAACACACACUGUACUCACAUCCUGACCCCCUCAACACACUGUACUCACAUCCUGACCCCUCAACACACUGUACUCACAUCCUGACCCCUCAACACACUGUACUCACAUCCUGACCCCUCAACACACUUAGACCUCACAUCCUGACCCCUCAACACACCAGGAACAGUAGACCUCACAUCCUGACCCCUCAAUACACCAGGAACAGUAGACCUCACAUCCUGACCCCCUCAACACACCAGGAACAGUAGACCUCACAUCCUGACCCCCUCAACACACCAGGAACAGUAGACCUCACAUCCUG